AAGCAUCCCUUCUUACCCGUGUGCUUCUUCUCAAAAGAACUUCUACUUAUUCCUCAACAGCUUCUUCUUGUAUCUGGAUUUCUUCUCCAGCUUCCUGACCUUCAUUCUGAACUUCUCUUACUGAUUCAUCUCCACUUUGGACAGGAGAAUCUGAGCCUUGAUCUUCUAGACCUCCAGCUUCCUCUGAGCCUUGAUCUUUUAACCCUUCAGCUUCAGAUUCACUUCCCACGUCAUGUUCAAAGUGGGAUGGUUCUUCAGCGGCCACUUGAGUAGGCUCUU
Molecule: long non-coding RNA, 279 nt
Filed under: Brassica napus (rape)
Lineage: Eukaryota; Viridiplantae; Streptophyta; Magnoliopsida; Brassicales; Brassicaceae
Description: long non-coding RNA (BNAP_LNC014747)
Source: RNAcentral